GACGAACGCUGGCGGCGUGCUUAAUACAUGCAAGUCGAGCGGUGAACCCGACUGAAAGCCUUCGGGCUUGACGUUGGGGGAUCAGCGGCGGAUGGGUGAGUAACGCGUGGGUACCUGCCCUAAAGUCUGGGAUAACAACUCGAAAGGGUUGCUAAUACCGGAUGUGACCGAGAGGUUAAAGGCAGAGAUGUCGCUUUAGGAUGGGCCCGCGUCCCAUUAGCUAGUUGGUGAGGUAAGGGCUCACCAAGGCUGCGAUGGGUAGCCGGCCUGAGAGGGUGACCGGCCACACUGGAACUGAGACACGGUCCAGACUCCUACGGGGGCAGCAGUGGGGAAUCUUCCACAAUGGGCGAAAGCCUGAUGGAGCGACGCCGCGUGAGCGAAGAAGGCCUUCGGGUUGUAAAGCUCUGUCUGGAGGGACGAAGGAAGUGACGGUACCUCCGGAGGAAGCCACGGCUAACUACGUG
Molecule: ribosomal RNA, 467 nt
Filed under: uncultured bacterium
Lineage: Bacteria
Description: bacterial SSU rRNA
Rfam family: Bacterial small subunit ribosomal RNA
Source: RNAcentral